GCCUCUGUAGCUCAGUUGAUUAGAGCGCUGCACCGGAAUCGCAGGGCCGUAGGUUCAAUUCCUACCAGAGGAC
Molecule: transfer RNA, 73 nt
Filed under: Paramuricea clavata
Lineage: Eukaryota; Metazoa; Cnidaria; Anthozoa; Malacalcyonacea; Plexauridae
Rfam family: tRNA
About the family: Transfer RNA (tRNA) molecules are approximately 80 nucleotides in length. Their secondary structure includes four short double-helical elements and three loops (D, anti-codon, and T loops).
Source: Rfam by way of RNAcentral